This 87-nucleotide transfer RNA is filed under the name Erwinia phage pEp_SNUABM_01. RNAcentral's name for it is "tRNA-Lys". It matches the Rfam family "tRNA". Rfam says of the family: Transfer RNA (tRNA) molecules are approximately 80 nucleotides in length. Their secondary structure includes four short double-helical elements and three loops (D, anti-codon, and T loops). Further hydrogen bonds mediate the characteristic L-shaped molecular structure. tRNAs have two regions of fundamental functional importance: the anti-codon, which is responsible for specific mRNA codon recognition, and the 3' end, to which the tRNAs corresponding amino acid is attached (by aminoacyl-tRNA synthetases). tRNAs cope with the degeneracy of the genetic code in two manners: having more than one tRNA (with a specific anti-codon) for a particular amino acid; and 'wobble' base-pairing, i.e. permitting non-standard base-pairing at the 3rd anti-codon position. Lineage: Duplodnaviria; Heunggongvirae; Uroviricota; Caudoviricetes. The record is from RNAcentral. RNAcentral also lists the same sequence under 1 other name.
GGGUUUGUAGCCGAGCGGAGACGCAAGUCGAUAGGCACCUCGCUUUUAACGAGAUUGACGGGGGUUCGAAUCCCUCCAGACCCACCA